AGCUGUAGUCCUGGGCAGACUGCUCAGAAAUGUAGUGUCUACCCAUACUGCUCUACACAAACCCCAUAUAUAAAGGAAUGGAUAGAGACAAUUGUUUUGUUCCUGUAAGGAUUGUUGUUGGGGUGUCAACAUAAGCCAUUCUACUUCUUAGUUUCAGUAAUGAUUUUAGGGAUUUGCUCAGGUAUGAGAUCCCUGAUCUGGAGGAUUAGUGGUGGUCUAAAUCUGAAGCAGUACCUUAUCUGAACACUUUCUGCACCUACAGUCUUGCCUUCAGAAGAGCCACCUUGCCUGAGGGGAGUGCAGAAGAAAGACCAAGCUGGGAAAAUCUUUCAUCAGUUCCCAGUGGCGACUCCUCCCUCCCUCAACUAUCAUCAGAAAAGCUACCUUGCUUGAGAGGAGCAGAGGAGAAACAGCAAGCUAGGAAGAUUCCCCAUCGCUUCACACCAGGGUCUCACCCUCAGCUGUUACCAUAAGAGCUUCUGCCUUGCCUGAGAGAACUGGAGAAGGAGCAACCUGGAAAGACUUCCACCAGCUCCUGGCCGUGAUCCAACCUCAUGCACAAUAGUUGUAUUUUUAUGUGUGGGUUACAGUUCUUAUCAAGCAGUGAGCUCCCNGCUGUCUUUGGCAAUGGUGGAGCAGGUGCCAAAGGACAAGGAAAGUUGGGGAGUCUGUUCCAUACCACUUCUAAAGACCAAAAAAGGAUGGCAGAUCAAGGGCUGAAUUGGACCUCAAGUACCUGAAUCAGUUUGUCAAGUACAGGAGAUUCAAGAUGGAGUUUGUUGCUAGCUCUGGAUGAUUUCCUGGCUUCAGUGAACCUGCAGGAUGCAUCAGUAUCUGCUCAAUGUACAAGAGCUUCCUCAGGUUCUGCAAAGAAGAUCAGCAUUUCCAAUUCAAGAUCUUCCCUUUAGUUCCUCUAUGGUACCAUGGGAAUACACCAGANUACAGCCUUAGAGACACUCAAGACUGGAAGAGAUAGCAGUAUGUGCUAACUUAGAAAAUCUUCUGGUCAAAGGAUCAUCAAAACAGCAAGCAAGACAUGAGGUGCAGACAUUCUUGAAUCACUUAUCACNGAUGGGACUUUUAAUAAAUCACAAAAAGAGUAGUCUGGUUCCUGCCGC
This 1118-nucleotide long non-coding RNA is filed under the name Salvator merianae (Argentine black and white tegu). RNAcentral's name for it is "lncRNA (ENSSMRG00000009529.1)". The record is from RNAcentral. Lineage: Eukaryota; Metazoa; Chordata; Lepidosauria; Squamata; Teiidae.